UGCUUGGAGGGUUUGAUCCUGGCCCAGGACUAGCGCUGGCGGUGUGUCUUAGACAUGCAAGUCGUGCGAGAUUCACUCUGGUAGCAAUACCGGAAUGCGUCUAGCGGCGAACGGGUGAGUAACGCAAGGGUAACCUGCCCUGAGGUGAGGAACAACCCGUCGAAAGGCGGGCUAAUUCCUCAUGUGUUGCAGCCUCGGCAUCUUGGCUGCAACAAAGACGCCGCAAGGUGUCGCCUUUCGAGGGGCCCUUGUCCUAUCAGCUUGAUGGCGGGGUAACGGCCCACCAUGGCUCCGACGGAUAGUCGGCGUGAGAGCGUGACCGGCCACAGGGGAACUGAGACACGGUCCCCACUCCUACGGGAGGCAGCAGUCUAGAAACUUGGGCAAUGGGCGAAAGCCUGACCCAGCGACACCGCGUGGAGGAUGAAGUCUCUCGGGAUGUAAACUCCUGUCAGGGUGAACGAUGCCGGUUCGGAGUAACUGCCGAAACGGUGACGGUACUCCCAAAGGAAGCUCCGGCUAACUACGUGCCAGCAGCCGCGGUGAUACGUAGGGGGCAAGCGCUGUCCGGAUUCACUGGGCGUAAAGGGUGUGUAGGCGGACUGGUGGGUCGAUGGUGAAAGCUCCGGGCUUAACCCGGGAACUGCUGUCGAAACUACCGAUCUAGAGAGCAGGAGAGGGAACUGGAACUUCCGGUGUAGCGGUAGAAUGCGUAGAUAUCGGAAGGAACGCUAAUAGCGAAGGCAGGUUCCUGGAAUGCAUCUGACGCUGAGACACGAAAGCUAGGGGAGCGAACAGGAUUAGAUACCCUGGUAGUCCUAGCUGUAAACGAUGUACAUUAGGCGUGGGGGCCUAGUCUCCGUGCCGCAGCUAACGCGAUAAAUGUACCGCCUGGGGACUACGGCCGCAAGGCUGAAACUCAAAGGAAUUGACGGGGACCCGCACAAGCGGUGGAGGAUGUGGUUUAAUUCGAUGAUACGCGAAGAACCUUACCUGGGUUUGACAUGCAAGUGGUAGGGACCCGAAAGGGGACCGACUGGGGUUUAUCUCUGGAGCUUGCACAGGUGCUGCAUGGCUGUCGUCAGCUCGUGCCGUGAGGUGUAUGGUUAAGUCCCGCAACGAGCGCAACCCCUGCCCCUAGUUGCCAACCGGUGACGGUGCACUCUAGGGGGACUGCCUCCGUCAAGGAGGAGGAAGGUGGGGAUGACGUCAAGUCAUCAUGGCCUUUAUGCCCAGGGCUACACACGUCCUACAGUGGCCGCUACAAUGGGCAGCGACAUCGCGAGGUGGAGCGAAUCCCCAAAGGUGGCCAUGGUUCGGAUAGCAGGCUGCAACUCGCCUGCUUGAAGACGGAAUCGCUAGUAAUCGCUGAUCAGAACGCAGCGGUGAAUACGUUCCCGGGUCUUGUACACACCGCCCGUCACGCCAUGGGAGUUGGCAACGCCCGAAGUCCCUCCUUCGUGGGGGCCCAAGGCGGGGCCGAUGACUGGGGCGAAGUCGUAACAAGGUAGCCGUACGGGAACGUGCGGCUGGAUCACCUCCUUU
RNAcentral lists this ribosomal RNA (1545 nucleotides) under Caldifarciminota bacterium. Its description in RNAcentral is "bacterial SSU rRNA". It matches the Rfam family "Bacterial small subunit ribosomal RNA". The record is from RNAcentral. Lineage: Bacteria; Pseudomonadati; Caldifarciminota.